AUUGAACGCUGGCGGCAGGCCUAACACAUGCAAGUCGAACGGUAACAGGAAGAUGCUUGCUUCUUUGCUGACGAGUGGCGGACGGGUGAGUAAUGUCUGGGAAACUGCCUGAUGGAGGGGGAUAACUACUGGAAACGGUAGCUAAUACCGCAUAACGUCGCAAGACCAAAGAGGGGGACCUUCGGGCCUCUUGCCAUCGGAUGUGCCCAGAUGGGAUUAGCUAGUAGGUGGGGUAACGGCUCACCUAGGCGACGAUCCCUAGCUGGUCUGAGAGGAUGACCGGCCGCACUGGAACUGGGACGCGGUCCAGACGCCUGCGGGAGGCAGCAGUGGGGAAUAUUGCACAAUGGGCGCAAGCCUGAUGCAGCCAUGCCGCGUGUAUGAAGAAGGCCUUCGGGUUGUAAAGUACUUUCAGCGGGGAGGAAGGGAGUAAAGUUAAUACCUUGGCUCAUUGACGUUACCCGCAGAAGAAGCACCGGCUAACUCCGUG
This 490-nucleotide ribosomal RNA is filed under the name uncultured bacterium. RNAcentral's name for it is "partial 16S ribosomal RNA". It matches the Rfam family "Bacterial small subunit ribosomal RNA", at positions 30 to 507 of the family's 1533-position model. The record is from RNAcentral.